This 428-nucleotide ribosomal RNA is filed under the name uncultured archaeon. Its description in RNAcentral is "bacterial SSU rRNA". It matches the Rfam family "Archaeal small subunit ribosomal RNA", at positions 474 to 903 of the family's 1478-position model. The record is from RNAcentral.
UACCAGCAGCUCAAGUGGUGAUCAAUAUUAUUGGGCCUAAAGCGUCCGUAGCCGGUCUGGUAAACCCUUGGGUAAAUCGGGCAGCUUAACUGUCCGAAUUCUGAGGAGACUGCCAGACUUGGGACCGGGAGAGGUCAGAGGUACUCCUGGGGUAGGGGUGAAAUCCUGUAAUCCUAUGGGGACCACCAGUGGCGAAGGCGUCUGAUCAGAACGGGUCCGACGGUAAGGGACGAAGCCCUGGGGCACAAACCGGAUUAGAUACCCGGGUAGUCCAGGGUGUAAACGCUGCAGGCUUGGUGUUGGGGGUCCUACGAGGGCACUCAGUGCCGUAGAGAAGUUGUUAAGCCUGCCGCCUGGGGAGUACGUCCGCAAGGAUGAAACUUAAAGGAAUUGGCGGGGAGCACCGCAACGGGUGGAGCGUGCGGUUU